Cyprinus carpio (common carp) is the source of this 617-nucleotide long non-coding RNA. The record is from Ensembl. Lineage: Eukaryota; Metazoa; Chordata; Actinopteri; Cypriniformes; Cyprinidae.
AUGGAUUUUUUCGUGAAGGAAAAAUUGCGACAAUGGAAUUUCUGCCAGUUAAUUGAAACAUUUCAAGAGGAAGGAGUGGAUGAACAAAGUUUUAUGCUACUGGAUGACACCAGCAUUGCUGCACUAAUCCCAAGAAUUGGUCUCAGGGUUAAAUUCAAGAAGCUUCAUUCAGAGUUUUUGGGAUCUCUGGGCCAUAGCCCCAUCAACAAUCAAUCAUGUCCCAAUCAGCCUGUAAGGAAUGAACAACCAACACCAACUGAGACAAUAGUGGAAAGCUGCAAGAUGAGAACAACAAGCAACUCCACAUUUGUAAUUACGACUUGUGCUACACUUGAAUUUGAAUCCUAGACAAUUAUUUUAUGAUUGUUUGUCUAUACAUUCUACAUUCUUUUUACAGGAUAUACGAGAAAUACUUAGAAAAUCUGGAGGACCAGCGCUAAUAACAUCCUUAGAAAGGGACAGAUACCUAAGCCUCAAGGAGCAAUGUCAGAUGGUGUGGUUGUUGGUUUCUCAUAUGAUGGAGAGAUUUGGGGAAAAGUGAGUAGAAGUAUUAAAGUAUAAUCACUUGACAAAUUUUCUUUAAUAAAUAAAACUACACAAAUAAGGUCUAUAUGAAU